This is a long non-coding RNA of Solanum lycopersicum (tomato), 1235 nucleotides long. RefSeq lists it as uncharacterized. Lineage: Eukaryota; Viridiplantae; Streptophyta; Magnoliopsida; Solanales; Solanaceae. The record is from RefSeq and is a predicted model, not a curated record.
GCUUCUUUAGAAAAAAGAAUGAAAUAGAGCACUCAAAACUUGAGUUAUCUUUCCAACUCUCUCAGUUUAAGAUUCUAUCAUUCCUUCUUGUUUACAAUUUGAUAACAUUUUCCCUCAAUGUAUAUUGCAUCAGUCUCUCUUACAAAAAAAGUUUAGUCUCAUAAUUAUUAAUUUCUAAGAGAUCUACCUAUAUAUGGUUACUUUCAUAUAUUUUCCUGUCGAUAAAUGAUAAAGGCGGUGAUUGUUAUGGAUCCAAAAAGACAAGUAAUUCUAGCCUUUCUAAAGAUCUACUCAAUUCAUUUUCUGUAUAAGUGUAAAAUAAUUGCAAGUACAAGCUAAGUUGUUCGGACUCCAAUGCUGGCAGAUCAAGAUGUCGGAUCCAAGAUAAUCGAAAUUUAAAGAUUUGGAGGUACAGAUCCAAGUAUGGAGUCUAGUGAGGGUGUUCUAGCACGGAUGCAGGUAACGGUGGUGGUUGUUAUGGAUACAACAUGACAUUGCAGGUGUUUGAUACAGAUGCAGAUGUAGAGAUCAGAUCCUUAAUGACCUAAAUUUUAAGAUUUGGGUGUACGAAUCCUUGUAGGAACUCUGGUGUGGGUGUCCAAGUAUGGAUACAUGUACGGGUGAUGAUUGUUAUGGAUCCAGAUAGACAGGUAAGUCUAGCCUUUCCAUAAUUCUAGUUUAAUUAUUUUCAGUAGAGGUUGUGAAUAAUUUAAAAAUACAAACUAAGUUGUUCGUACUCCAGUGCAAGUAUGGAUCUAGAGAUCGGAUCCAGGGACAACUGUCUUCAGAACAGGGGAUCCACUUGAACUAUGAUUUCCAGGGCUAUGAUCUGCCUCGGGUCUAGUACCCAUAUAGAUGAAAUCAUGAUAUAAUUUGACUAAAUCUAUUUGGGUUUGAGUCAGAGAGAUUUUUGGUUGAGUAUGGUCUCAGCAGCAGCAUCUGCAGGUGGGAAGAUGUCAUCUCAGGUUAAGUCGGUGUCCAGAUCAAGAUCGAGGUAGCCGGGCGAUGGAGGAUGUGAAUUCUCCAUAAUACCAGUGAAACUUUCAGGUGACAUCGCCUGAAAUGUUCACUGGUAAGAUGUCAAAUUUACAUCCUCCAUCGUUGGACGAUCUCGGUCUUAAUCUGGAUACCAACUUAACCUCAGAUGACAUUUUACCACUUGCAGAUGUUGAUGCUGCCACCAUUCUCAACCCAAAAUCUCUCGGUGUUUCAAAACAGAGUCAGAUUGACCCAAA